This 902-nucleotide unclassified non-coding RNA is filed under the name uncultured Synechococcus sp. RNAcentral describes it as "partial may contain 16S ribosomal RNA, 16S-23S ribosomal RNA intergenic spacer, and 23S ribosomal RNA". The stretch from base 354 to 426 matches the Rfam family "tRNA". Lineage: Bacteria; Bacillati; Cyanobacteriota; Cyanophyceae; Synechococcales; Synechococcaceae. The record is from RNAcentral.
GGACGUCGAAGGUGGGGCUGAUGACUGGGGUGAAGUCGUAACAAGGUAUCCGUACCGGAAGGUGCGGAUGGAUCACCUCCUAACAGGGAGACAACACAAUGAUUUUGAUGCCUGAGUACAUUUAUUCUUAGGCCGAAAUCCUGUCACCUUAGGUCGAUCGGUACCUCAGCGUUGAAGCAACAGAAUUAACAGAGAUGUUGAUGCGUGUUGUGGAGAUGAUCAGUUCCUAAACUUUGUCUAGGUCACACCCCACAAGGGUUGAGUUUUCCUGGGCCAUUAGCUCAGGUGGUUAGAGCGCACCCCUGAUAAGGGUGAGGUCCCUGGUUCAAGUCCAGGAUGGCCCAUUCGGUGUUGGGGGUUUAGCUCAGUUGGUAGAGCGCCUGCUUUGCAAGCAGGAUGUCAGGAGUUCGAGUCUCCUAACCUCCACUGACCGAACUCAAUCCCGGUUUUGCAUUGAAAGAUGGAGAACCACUCGGUUGUGAUGUGUGAUUUAGAUGUGUCCGCUGGAUGACCCCAGCUUCCUGUCAUUCCAAAUCGAAGUAAAUCAAUUUACUUGAACGGUUUUGGUUGAUAAGAUGCUGGGCUCGAGUUCAGUGAUCAAGAGAUUGGUCAUUGGAUUUGAAGUCUGGCAGAACCUUGACAACUGCAUAGGUAAGUCUGGAAAAAACAAAGCAUCUUACAGAUGCAUUGUUUUGAAUCUGAUCUUCUGAAAGGGAGAUUGGAUUUAGAACAAUGAAAAUUCUUUUGAGCAAGAGCCGAGACUCUUGAGCGUUCUUUGGUUCGUGUCGAGCGAAUCAGAGUUUGAUCUUGUUUUAGGAAUUGGCGUUAGCUGAUGAUUAAACCUUGAGAAUCUGCUUUCAACGGCGGUAAGCGUUCAGGAGAUUAAUUGGUCAAGCUACAAA